AUGAAGAGCACAGAAGCAAAUAGCAGCAUGUUAGUUUUCGUUUUGUUUUGUCCAAGAGCUUUCAGUACUCUCAGGUGCUGCACCACCUGUGCCCAUGGGUUCGACUAAACUAGUCAUUUGAUGUGUGCUCCAAGAAUCGCCAAGCCAUGUUUAUCUGAUCUCAACAAGGCCCUUGUGUUUGGAUGACUUCAAGAUGGUAUUCUGCAAAAAUACAAGUGUCAAACUCAAGGCCCACAUCUUUUUAUGUGGCCCGUGAAAGUAAAUCAUAUUUGUGUCAACUUCCAUUUUUAUUGCUAAAAUCUGUACUAAAAUAUAAAAUUUAAUGUGAAAAAAAAUAAUAACGUGCUAUUACAAGCAUUUUUUUCAUUACCAAACCUCUUUAUACAGUCACUUGAUGUGGAUGGGAGGGUUUAAGAGUAUCCCUAUUUAUUAUUAAAGAGCACUGGAAUCGUCCAACUUCAGCAAUGUCUUUUGUAUUUCGAGAGAACUGACUCAUAUUUAACAAGACUCAAUAGGAAAACCGGAAGUUGCAUCAUGAAAUGAGACGAGAUAAACGAAUGAAUAUUACUCAUCAUUAACUAUACUAUGUGUGCAGUUUGCAUGUUCUCCCGGUGCCUGUGUGGGUUUUCUCCGGGCACUCCGGUUUCCUCCCACAUCCCAAAAACAUGCAUGAAUUGGAGACUCUAAAUUGCCCGUAGGUGUGAAUGUGAGUGCGAAUGGUUGUUUGUUUGUAUGUGCCCUGCGAUUGGCUGGCAACCAGUUCAGGGUGUACCCCACCUCCUGCCCGAUGAUAGCUGGGAUAGGCUCCAGCACGCCCGCGACCCUAGUGAGGAGAAGCGGCUCAGAAAAUGGAUGGAUGGAUGGAUCAUUAUAUUUGUCCAAACAAAUAUACCUUUAGUUGUACCAGGCAUUAAAAAUUAACAAAAAACUGAAGAAACAAGGGUGGUCUAAUUUCCCCCCCAUGACUAUAUUAAUGGUCAGAGGACAAAUAUUUUAAUUUUUUCUUGAUAACUCUAGAACCACUUUACAAACCACAUCUGCCAUUUCAAAGUGAUUAUAUGGCAGAUAUACAGAAGUUAAAUCGAUAAAUAUGAUGCCGAAUGCGCCGUCUGCUUUUUGCAUCCUGCGCCUUCCGGUCUUUGUCUCUUUCCGGCGCUGUGAGCCAAACAUCCUGUUCAUUCGGCGUUGUGUGCUAUUGUUCCAUGCUUUUGUUCCCGUCCUCAUAUAUUUGUCGUCGUAUGGUUUAAUGAUGCGACGAUGGUUUAUUGUGUGGCAUUUGGUUGUACAAAUGGUUCAGGCAGCGGCAAGAGUUGUUUUUUUGGUUUUCCAAGUGAAGAAGGAAUACGUGACCAGUGGAUAGUGAAAGUAACUCGACAGGGGAAGAAAUGUGCUCAGUUAUGGGUGCCUAGCAAGCAUUCCAAACUCUAUGCCGAUCACUUCGAACCGGCGUGUUUUGAGAAAGCAUUGGAUACACAGGUGUAGUUAGGCAGAGACUGAAACCAGGUGUGGUGCCCACUAUUUUUUCCACGGCCAGCGGGACCUCUACCGCCAGCAAGAGAACUAAAUCUCGCAGUAGCGAAGCGGCGCAGACAAGUGGUGAGCAUUUCCUUGUAUAUCAGAAUCAGAAUCAGAAUCAUCUUUAUUUGCCAAGUAUGUCCAAAAAACACACAAGGAAUUUGUCUCCGGUAGUUGGAGCCGCUCUCGUACGACAACAGACAGUCAAUUGACAAAGAACACUUUUGAGACAUAAAGACAUUGACAAAAAACAAACAAAAAAAAAAAAACAGUCACUGAGCAGUGAACGGCUGCUAGUUAUCUGGUAAUGCCGGUACAUUUUUUUUUUUUUUUUUUUUGACAAUUGUGCAAAAGAUGAGUCACUGAUGGUGUAGUGGUACACUCGCCUGACUUUGGUGCAGGCAGCGUGGGUUCAGUUCCCACUCAGUGAUGGUGUGAAUGUGAGUGCGAAUGGUUGUCCGCGUCCAUAUGUGCCCUGCGACUGACUGGCGACCAGUUCAGGGUGUAGUCCGCCUUUCGCCCGAAGUCAGCUGGGAUAGGCUCCAGCGCCGCGCGACCCUAACCAGGAUAAGCGGUGUUGAAAAUGGAUGGAUGGAUGGAUGUGCAAAAGAUGCAGAGUCCUCUAGCACUUAGAGCAGUUUGAAUGACUAAUAUUGCAAUAGUCCGGUGCAAUGACCAUUGUGCAAAGGGCGCCGAGACUUCAAGGAGUGUAUGCGGUUUAAAGUGACGAGUAGUGCGAUAAUCUGGGACAAUGUUGGCUGUGCAAAUGUUGCAGAUACUCCUCAAUCAGUGUGCAAAUGGAGCAGAUGCUACUCUGGCAUGAGUGGCCAGUACAGAUAUGCAAAUAGUGCAGCAUGGCGAGACAACUACAGUGAGUGCACAAGUAAUUGGCCCCAGAGAAAUGUGACAAAAAAAAAAUUCCCAGCAUGUUGUAAUGGAAUUGUAGGUUAGGUGUUUAAGAAGUUGAUUGCGAGAGGAAAGAAGCUGUUGGAAUGUCUGCUAGUUCUAGUUUGCAUUGAUCGGUAGCGCCUACCUCAGGGAAGGAGCUGGAAGAGCUGGUGACCGGGGUGCGGAGGGUCCGAGAGGAUUUUGCACGCUCUUGUCUUAGUUCUGUCCUCUGUCCUCAAGGAUGGGUAGGGGGGUAUCGACAAUCCUUUCAGCAGUUUUGAUUGUCCGUUGCAGUCGGAGUUUGUCAUUUUUUGUAGCAGCACCAAACCAGACUGUGAUGGAAGAACACAGGACUGAUUCGAUGACCGCUGUGUAGAACUGCCUCAGCAGCUCCGGUGGCAGGCCGUGCUUUCUCAGAAGCCGCAGGAAGUACAUUCUCUGCUGGGCCUUUUUGAGGACGGAGUUGAUGUUGGUCGCCCACUUCAGGUCCUGCGAGACUGUAAUUCCCAGGAACUUGAAGGUCUUGAUGGUUGACACAAGCCAGCUGGACAACGUGAGGGGCCGCUGUGGCGAAGGAUGCCUCCUGAAGUCCACGAUCAUCUCUACAGUCUUGAGCGUGUUCAGCUCCAGGUUGUGUCGGCCGCACGACAGCUCCAGCCGCUCCACUUCCUGUCGAUAUGCAGACUCGUCACCGUCCUUGAUGAGGCCGAUGACAGUGGUGUCAUCUGCAAACUUCAGGAGUUUGACAGUCGGGUGUGCUGAGGUGCAGUCGUUCGUGUAGAGAGAGAAGAGCAGCGGAGAGAGGACACAACCUUGGGGCGCCCCAGUGCUGAUGCUGCGUGUGGAUGAAGUGGCCUCCCCCAGCAUGACCUGUUGUGUCCUGCCCGUCAGAAAGCUGUAAAUCCACUGGCAGAUGGCAGGUGAGACGCUGAGCUGGAGAAACUUUGAUGAAAGGAGUUCAGGGAUGAUGGUGUUGAACGCUGAAUUGAAGUCCACGAACAGGAUCCUCGCGUAGGUCCCUGCACUGUCGAGGUGUUCUAGGAUGAAGUGCAGUCCCAUGUUGACUGCAUCAACCGUAGACCUGUUUGCUUGAUAGGCAAACUGCAAGGGGUCCAGCAGGGGACCUGUGACACUCUUGAGGUGGUCCAGUACGAGACGUUCAAAGGACUUCAUGACCACAGAUGUCAAGGCGACAGGCCUGUAGUCAUUUCGACCCGAGAUUGCAGGUUUCUUGGGGACUGGAAUGAUGGUGGAGCGUUUGAAACAGGAUGGCACGUAGCACAGUUCCAGAGAUCUAUUGAAGAUCUGUGUGAAGACUGAAGCGAGCUGGUCCGCGCAGACUUUGAGGCAGGAUGGGGACACAUGGUCUGGGCCUGCCGCUUUGUUAAUCUUUUGUUGUUUGAAGAUGCGUCUCACAUCCUGUUCAUGGAUGGUUAACGCAGAAGUCAGAGGUGUGAUUGUGGUCGGGGGUGCGGCCGCGUGGGUGUGGGGUGUGACUACGACUCUAUUAUGGUUACUAUGCACUGGGGAGUAGGAAAAAAAAGACCCACACUAAUUUUCAGUACAGUCGCCUAUAUGACAAGCCAAGACACACGGCAAAGACUUGUGCGGCGUGUUAUAACGCAACUCGAGUGAGGGGCACACAAUAUAUAGGAAUACUGCAUCCUAUGUAAAAGCUUUUGCCGUGUCACUGAAACAUAUGAAUACCUAAUACGUGCUAAAAAAUAUUGGCACACCUGGGGUGGCAUUAUUUCAAGCCAUGUGUGUAUAAAAAGACAUGCUUUUGACAUACCGUCACAUGGAGCCAGUGGCCACUCUCUUUUUCUGUUGUACAGCUGCGACUUGGCUGCGCGUCGUCGUCACUGUAAGGUUCCGACCUCCUGAUCGGCUCAAACAUGUACGCUUUGACGAUGCCAAGUUCAGUUGGGUGCUCCUGUAUGUCGAAAUCCUACUCCACAUAUUCCAACACGUUGCUCGCCAUUGCGUAUAGUGUGUAUCGCGCUGUGUUUGUCAAUUGCAGCGUCACUUCUGGUAGCCCUAGAGUAACCACACCACGGUGUCUUGAGCAUCGGGUAUGUUCGGGGAGGACUCAAUAUGCGUCAUAAAAACCUAAUUUUGAGCUAAACUAUGGUUGAAAACUUCCUGGAAGUUACGUGCAUGUAUUACAUAACAUAUAACUGUCAUGAGUGUGUGUUCCGGUUGUUGUCUUCCCCGUCUCGUACACACAUGCUCCUGAGAGCAUCUUCACCACCUGUGCCUCGUUCACCCGAAUUACCCCUUGCAUUUAACCUCGUGUCUCAUUCUUUCUUGUCGCCACUUCAAUGUAGCUUGUCGUCGCGUUCCAGUAUUCCUUGUUUCCACGUCACAGACUCACAGGAAGACUAGACCCUGUUCCGAUUAUCAACCUAGCCUUUUUACCUUAUGUUUUUGGAUACUGUUGCCUUUUUUGGAUUGCCUUCCUGUGUACCGACUUCUGCCUGUAUAUUAAAUCUCUCUUUUUUUAAACUGUCCAUUUGUUUGGGAGUCGUGCACAUUGGGGUCCUAUCCUCUGUUCCGUUCAUGAUUGAACGAACUGGCCAUAACAUGGACCCAGCAGACUCAGACCCGGUGCACAAAGCCCUUCAAGCGCAGGGUCAACGCCUCUCGAAGCAGGAUGAACAGUUUGCUGCCCUCCACCUUCAUCUCGAGGGACUAUCAGAACAUCAGGACAACAUGAGACAGGUGGCCUCACAGUUUGAAGUUCUUAUGAAAAUUAUUCAAAAGAAGGAACCAGUUGGUACAACACCCGAUACCACCACGGUACCAACGUUUUCAUGUGAACCAGUUACCAUGCAACCACCUGCCAUCUCCGCUGCUGUCUGCCCACAGCUCUCUCGACUGGAGAGGUUCUCUGGAGAUUCUGGGAAUAUUAAGCCGUUCAUCACUCAGUGCGAACUCCACUUUGAGCUGCAGGCAGCUGCCUUCCCCACCGAGCGGGCAAAAAUCGCUUUCGUCAUUUCCCACCUGACUGGUCAUGCGGAGGCAUGGGCUACUGCUGAAUGGAGUCGCGUGUCAUUUGUGGGCUUUUUUCGAAAUGACUAUGGAGCAUAUUUUUCAGUUUUCCACACCAGAUCGUGAGGCAGCUCGCUCCCUUGUCACCUUACACCAAGACAAGCGCAGGGUUUCGGAUUACGCGAUUGAUUUUCGCAUUCGAGCAGCUGAGAGUCAGUGGAAUAAUAGGGCACUGCAUUUUUUCAAGGACUAUCCCCCGCCGUCAGGGAUCAUUUGGUCCCGCUGGACCUGCCGACAGACUUGGACACUCUCAUCGCUCUCGCCGUAAAAAUCAACAAGAGGCUUUUGGAUCGCGAGCUGGACGGAGUUCGGCAGAGGGCUGCGUCAUCGCGCACUUGGAGGACGAGCCACGUCACCACGGAUGAACCCAUUCAACUGGGCAGGUUCCGUUUCUCCCCUGAGGAACGUCAACGCCGGCUGAGGGAAGCGCGAUGCUUCUACUGCUGGCAGUUGGGUCAUUCCGUGAACAACUGUCACGUCAAGUUUGCCGGUAGCAAGGGCACGGGAGCGAAGAUACACCAAGUACUCGCCUGCCUGCUUCUCUGAUCACCUUGGCUGCAGUGGUCCAGUCUUCUGGAAGCUCUUCCCGUCCACCGAGAGCCUGUAUCUGUCAUGGUCUGUGUUUUGGUUUGGGUUGUUUAGUUUUGUUCCAUGUUUUCCUGUGUUCCAUGUUUGUCGUGUGCUCAUUAGGUUGUUGUGUCCACCUGUUCUCGUCUACUUUGUGUUGACCAAUCAGCUCUCUCUAGCCACUCGUCUUGUCCAGGUGUUCCUCGUUGUCUCGUCAAUUUGUUUGUAUUUAGUUCCCUGGUUUCUUUCAGUUCUCGUCGGUUCAUUGUCGUUGUCACAUGUCUUGCCAUGUCAUUGUCGCUCAGGUAUUUCACCAGUCAUGUCUUGUUUCUUGUUUUGGGUUCACUCAAGUGUUUCUUUGUUACUUUGUGUUUAGAUUUUGGACUUUGUUAAUUUAGCAUUUAGACUUUUUCAUGAUCUUUGUUUUCCUUUGUUUUUGGAAUUAAAUAUUAUUAUUUUGAGAUUCCUGCACUCCUGCCUUGCCUCCCUGCUUCCCUGCAAUUGGGUCCACCAUGUUCUUGCCUUGCAUUCCUCGCCGUCGCCCUAACCAUGUUCAUGACAGUAUCACCUCUUCCCGAAAAGCUGCACAACACUCGUCCUGUCUCAGCUUCCACCACAUGGUUCUCUUCUCUGCCUUUGUCUUCCUAAUUUUCCUCCCCACCACCAGAGUCAUCUUACACACCACCAUCCUAUGCUGUCUAGUCACACUCUCCCCUACCACUACCUUACAGUUGGUAACCUCCUUCAGAUUACAUCGUCUGCACAAGAUGUAAUCCACCUGUGUGCUUCUACCUCCGCUCUUGUAGGUCACCCUAUGUUCGUGCCUCUUCUGGAAAAAAGUGUUCACUACAGCCAUUUGCAUCCUUGUUGCAAAGUCUACCACCAUCUGUCCCUCCAAGUUCCUUUCCUGGAUACCGUACUUACCCAUCACUUCUUCAUCACCCUUAUUACCUUCACCAACAUGUCCAUUACAAUCUGCACCAAUUACGACUCUCUCUCUGUCUGGGAUGCUCAGAACUACAUCAUCUAGCUCCUUCCAGAAUUUCUCUUUCACCUCUAGGUCACAUCCUACCUGUGGGGCAUAGCCACUAAUCACAUUACACAUAACACCCUCAAUUUCAAAUUUCAGCCUCAUCACUCGAUCUGAUACUCUUUUCACCUCCAAGACAUUCUUAGCCAACUCUUCUUUUAAAAUAACCCCGACUCCAUUUCUCUUCCCAUCUACACCAUGGUAAAAUAAUUUAAACCCUCCCCCUAAACUUCUAGCCUUACUGCCUUUCCACCUGGUCUCCUGGACACACAAUAUAUCAACCUUUCUCCUAAUCAUCAUGUCAACCAACUCCCGAGAUUUUCCUGUCAUAGUCCCAACAUUCAGUUCUAGGCUCUGUGUUUUCCUCUUCUCUUUCUGCCGAAGAACCCGCUUUCCACCUCUUCUUCUUCUUUGACUUCGACUUCGACCCACAGUAGCUGAAUUUCCAACAGCGCCCUGCAGGUUGACGGCGCCGGUGGCGGACGUUGUUAACCCGGGCCACGACCGAUCCGGUAUGGAAUUCUUUGGAUGAACGCUCAUAUUUGUUUGGCAAAGUUUUAAGCCGGAUGCCCUUCCUGAUGCAACCCUCUGCAUUUAUCCGGGCUUGGGCUACAGUUUGCACUGACUUGUGCCCCCCAUAGGGCUGCAUUGACACUACGCUCUCCUGAUCAAGAAAUUCAUACACCUGUAUUAAUUGACUGGUUCUGACGCAAACUUACUCAACUCCCUCCUCGUUAGAAGGAUGCACCUUCGAACCUUUCAAAUAAAACGCCACCGCAACACCUAUGCUGCAGACGGCAGUUUUAUGGGCAAGAUCACUCACCCGCACCCAAACACUCACAUUGACAUUUCCUGAUUCUCACUCGGAACGCAUUAGUUUUCAUGUUUUUGACGCCAUGAAUCAUGACCUUAUUUUAGGGAACCCAUGGUUGAAAUUACAUAACCACCACAUUGACUGGUCCUCUGGGCAGGCUAUGUCAUGGGGCAGCAAUUGCGCCCAGAACUGUUUCAAGCCUCCAUGUGAUGUUCAGGGAUAUGUUUCAAAUGUAAAUCCACAGACCCCAUCAGGGGAUCCUGACUUAUUUCAAGUGCCCACCUGUUACCAGGACAUUAAAGAUGUUUUUUUCCAAGUCCAAGGCCAAAUUCCUUCCACCCCACAGACCGUAUGACUGUGCUGUUGACUUGCUUCCUGGAACCACACCCCCACGAGGGAGGUUAUUCUCUCUUUCAGGGCCGGAACAGAAGGCUAUGAAGGAGUAUGUGGAUGAAUCCACACACACAACUGGCAGCCGGGAUUAUUCGCCCAUCUUCAUCCCCUGCGCGAGCCGGAUUUUUCUUUGUGGACAAGAAGGACAAGACUCUGCGACCCUGUAUCGAUUACCGGGGUCUCAACGACAUAACUGUGAAAAACAGGUAUGUGCUGCUAACAAGUCCUCUCGUAAACGUCCUUCUGGGGAGUUCUGACCCCUGCCAAUAUCACAACGUCCUUGGUCAGACAUUUCCGUAGACCUUGUGAAAGGGUUACCGGCCUCUAAAGAGAAUACCACCAUUCUCACAGUUGUGGACACGUUCUCUAAGAUGGCACACUUCAUUGGACUCCCGAAACUCCCCUCAGCUAAAGUCACUGCCGAGUUAAUGAUACACCAGGUAUUCAAGUUCCAUGGUUUCCCCAAGAAUGUGGUAUCUGAUAGGGGUCCCCAAUUCAUUUCGCAAUUUUGGAAGGAGUUUUGCAAUCUCAUAGGUGCUACCGUCAGUCUGACAUCUAGGUUUCACCCUGAAACCAACGGACAAACCGAGAGGCUGAACCAGGACUUGGACACUGGGCUCCGAUGUCUCGCUUCCCAGGAGCCCCGAUCCUGGUCUCAGAAAGUGGUUAGGGUCUAAUUCUCUCACAAUUCCCUCCCCUCUGCAUCCACUGGUCUAUCGCCUUUUCACGUUGUGCAUGUUUACCAACCAUCUCUAUUUCCUGCGAUAGCUCCAGAGUCCACAGUUCCAGCGGCAUUGACCUUGGUGAGACGCUGCAGGAGGACCUGGGAGCAAGCCCGCCAGAUGCUGCCUUGCCAGGGACGGUCCUACAAGACUGCAGCUGACCGAACUAAAAAGUGAGUCAGCGAGUUUGGCUCUCCACCAAGCAUAUUCCACUCCGGGUGGAGUCCCGGAAGCUCGCUCCAAGGUUCGUUGGGCCGUUCCCCAUCACGAGGAUCAUCAACCCUGUCACCGUGAAGCUUAGGCUCCCAAGGUCGAUGCUGGUCCACCCUGCUUUUCACGUCAGCCUGCUCAAGUCCAGCUGGAAGUCCCCUCUGGUCACGCCUUCCAGGCCCCCUCCACUCCCCCGGUUCGUGGAUGGGGGCCCUGUCUUCACUGUGAGGCGGCUGUUGUCGUCUCGUCGGAGGGGGAGGGGGUUUCAAUAUCUGGUGGACUGUGAGGGCUACGGGCCUGAGGAACGUUGAUGGGUGUCGUCUGUGUUUAUCCUGGAUGACUCGCUCAUUCGGGACUUCCACGUUGCGCAUCCAGGGGGUCCGGGGCCGUCUGGGGCCAGCCGUUAAAGCGGGGGGGUACUGUCAUGGGUGUGUGUUCCGGUUGUUGUCUUCCCCCUGUCUCGUACACACCUGCUCCUGAGAGCAUCUUCACCACCUGUACCUCGUUCACCCUAAUUACCCCUUGCAUUUAACUUCAUGUCUCGUUCUUUCGAGUCGCCAGUUCGUUGUACCUUGUCGUUGCGUUCCAGCAUUCCUUGUUUCCAUGUCACAGACUCACAGUAAGACUAGACCCUGUUCCGAUUAUCGACCUUGCCUUUUUGCCUCACCUUUUUGGAUACUGUUGCCUUUUUUGCAUUGGCUGCCUGUGUACUGACCUCUGCCCGUGUAUUAAACCUCUCUUUUUUUAAACUGUC
Molecule: long non-coding RNA, 9944 nt
Organism: Phyllopteryx taeniolatus (common seadragon)
Lineage: Eukaryota; Metazoa; Chordata; Actinopteri; Syngnathiformes; Syngnathidae
Exons: 3
Source: RefSeq, a predicted model, not a curated record